UACGUAGGGUGCAAGCGUUAAUCGGAAUUACUGGGCGUAAAGCGUGCGCAGGCGGUUCUAUAAGACAGAUGUGAAAUCCCCGGGCUCAACCUGGGAACUGCAUUUGUGACUGUAGAGCUGGAGUACGGCAGAGGGGGAUGGAAUUCCGCGUGUAGCAGUGAAAUGCGUAGAUAUGCGGAGGAACACCGAUGGCGAAGGCAAUCCCCUGGACCUGUACUGACGCUCAUGCACGAAAGCGUGGGGAGCAAACAGG
RNAcentral lists this ribosomal RNA (253 nucleotides) under uncultured bacterium. RNAcentral describes it as "partial 16S ribosomal RNA". It matches the Rfam family "Bacterial small subunit ribosomal RNA", at positions 524 to 776 of the family's 1533-position model. The record is from RNAcentral.